ACAUAAUUUUGGCAAACUUGUUGAAAAACAAGGACGCAAAACUACGAAUCUAAGGCUGGUCUCUUAGCUAUGAUAGUCGGGUUGCAGGA
This 89-nucleotide non-coding RNA is filed under the name Sediminibacillus albus. RNAcentral describes it as "c-di-GMP-I riboswitch aptamer". It matches the Rfam family "c-di-GMP-I riboswitch aptamer". Rfam says of the family: GEMM was predicted in a large-scale screen for bacterial structured RNA regulatory elements. Genes associated with GEMM are involved in a diverse array of functions, including chemotaxis regulation, signal transduction, secretion and chitin. Lineage: Bacteria; Bacillati; Bacillota; Bacilli; Caryophanales; Bacillaceae. The record is from Rfam by way of RNAcentral.